CACAAGCGGAGGAGCAUGUGGUUUAAUCGAUGAUACGCGAGGAACUUACCUGGGCUCGAACGUAAGAUGACUGUAGGUGAAAGCUUACAUCUCUCGGAGCAUUUUCAAGGUGCUGCAUGGUUGUCGUCAGCUCGUGCCGUGAGGUGUCGGGUUAAGUCCCAUAACGAGCGCAACCCCUAUCAUUAGUUGCCAUCAGGUCAAGCUGGGGACUCUAAUGAAACUGCCUACGCAAGUAGUGAGGAAGGUGGGGAUGACGUCAAAUCAGCACGGCCCUUACGUCCAGGGCUACACACGUACUACAAUGGCCGAUACAAGGGGCAGCGACACUGCGAGGUGAAGCCAAUCCCGUAAAAUCGGUCUCAGUCCGGAUUGGAGUCUGCAACUCGACUCCAUGAAGUUGGAAUCGCUAGUAAUCGUGGAUCCAGCAUGCCACGGUGAAUACGUUCCCGGGCCUU
This 455-nucleotide ribosomal RNA is filed under the name uncultured Sphingobacteriales bacterium. Its description in RNAcentral is "bacterial SSU rRNA". It matches the Rfam family "Bacterial small subunit ribosomal RNA", at positions 924 to 1382 of the family's 1533-position model. The record is from RNAcentral. Lineage: Bacteria; Pseudomonadati; Bacteroidota; Sphingobacteriia; Sphingobacteriales.